GAUGAACGCUGGCGGCGUGCCUAAUACAUGCAAGUCGAGCGAACGGACGAGAAGCUUGCUUUUCUGAUGUUAGAGGCGGACGGGUGAGUAACACGUGGAUAACCUACCUAUAAGACUGGGAUAACUUCGGGAAACCGGAGCUAAUACCGGAUAAUAUUUUGAACCGCAUGGUUCAAAAGUGAAAGACGGUCUUGCUGUCACUUAUAGAUGGAUCCGCGCUGCAUUAGCUAGUUGGUAAGGUAACGGCUUACCAAGGCAACGAUGCAUAGCCGACCUGAGCGGGUGAUCGGCCACACUGGAAGUGAGACACGGUCCAGACUCCUACGGUGGGCAGCAGUAGGGAAUCUUCCGCAAUGGGCGAAAGCCUGACGGAGCAACGCCGCGUGAGGGAUGAAGGUCUUCGGAUCGUAAAACGCUGUUAUUAGGGAAGAACAUAUGUGUAAGUAACUGUGCACAUCUUGACGGUACCUAAUCAGAAAGCCACGGCUAACUACGUG
This 497-nucleotide ribosomal RNA is filed under the name uncultured bacterium. RNAcentral describes it as "partial 16S ribosomal RNA". It matches the Rfam family "Bacterial small subunit ribosomal RNA", at positions 28 to 507 of the family's 1533-position model. The record is from RNAcentral.